AGCUCCAAUAGCGUAUACUAAUUUGUUGCAGUUAAAAGCUCGUAGUUGGAUUUCUUUCUCUUGUCGCCGGAGGCCUUCUUCUAGAGGGUUUUCCUGCAACUGGGGAAACAUUUGUCGCAAACCAUCCGAAUACUGUUAUGGUGUUCGGUUGUUAAGCGACUCGUUUACUUUGAGAAAAUUAGAGUGUUCAAAGCAGGCUUUCCGCCUUGAAUAUGUUAGCAUGGAAUAAUAACAUAGGACUUUAGUUCUAUUUGUUGGUUGUUCGAGAACUGGAGUAAUGAUUGAUAGGGACGGUUGGGGGCAUCUGUAUUCUCAAGCGAGAGGUGAAAUUCUUGGACCUUGGGAAGACAAACAGCUGCGAAAGCGUUUGCCUAGGACGUUCUCUUU
Molecule: ribosomal RNA, 387 nt
Filed under: uncultured eukaryote
Lineage: Eukaryota
Description: SSU rRNA
Rfam family: Eukaryotic small subunit ribosomal RNA
Source: RNAcentral